GAUGAACGCUGGCGGCGUGCCUAAUACAUGCAAGUCGAGCGAACAGACGAGGAGCUUGCUCCUCUGACGUUAGCGGCGGACGGGUGAGUAACACGUGGAUAACCUACUUAUAAGACUGGGAUAACUUCGGGAAACCGCAUCUAAUACCGGCUCAUAUAUUGAACCGCAUGGUUCAAUAGUGAAAGACGGUUUUGCUGUCACUUAUAGAUGGUUCCGCGCCGCAUUAUCUAGUUGGUAAGGUAACGGCUUACCAAGGCGACGAUGCGUAGCCGACCUGAGAGGGUGAUCGGGCAACAUGGGACUGAGAAACGGUCCAGACUCCUACGGGAGGCAGCAGUAGGGAAUCUUCCGCAAUGGGCGAAAGCCUGACGGAGCAACGCCGCGUGAGUGAUGAAGGUCUUCGGAUCUUAAAACUCUGUUAGUAGGGAAGAACAAAUGUGUAAGUAACUAUGCACGUCUUGACGGUACCUAAUCAGAAAGCCACGGCUAACUACGUG
RNAcentral lists this ribosomal RNA (497 nucleotides) under uncultured bacterium. RNAcentral describes it as "partial 16S ribosomal RNA". It matches the Rfam family "Bacterial small subunit ribosomal RNA", at positions 28 to 507 of the family's 1533-position model. The record is from RNAcentral.